GUACUCAUUUCAGCAGCACAUAUACUAAAAUUGGAAUGAUACAGAGCAGAUGAGCAUGGCCCCUGCACAAGUCUGGCAUGCAAAUUUGUGAAGUGGUCCAUAUUUUU
Small nuclear RNA from Perognathus longimembris pacificus (Pacific pocket mouse), 107 nucleotides. Lineage: Eukaryota; Metazoa; Chordata; Mammalia; Rodentia; Heteromyidae. The record is from RefSeq and is a predicted model, not a curated record.